This 740-nucleotide ribosomal RNA is filed under the name uncultured Hyphomicrobiales bacterium. RNAcentral describes it as "bacterial SSU rRNA". It matches the Rfam family "Bacterial small subunit ribosomal RNA", at positions 8 to 796 of the family's 1533-position model. The record is from RNAcentral. Lineage: Bacteria; Pseudomonadati; Pseudomonadota; Alphaproteobacteria; Hyphomicrobiales.
AGAGUUUGAUCCUGGCUCAGAACGAACGCUGGCGGCAGGCUUAACACAUGCAAGUCGAACGCACCUUCGGGUGAGCGGCAGACGGGUGAGUAACGCGUGGGAACGUGCCCUUCAGUUCGGAAUAACCCAGGGAAACUUGGGCUAAUACCGGAUACGUGCGAGAGCAGAAAGAUUUAUCGCUGAAGGAUCGGCCCGCGUCUGAUUAGCUAGUUGGUGGGGUAAUGGCCCACCAAGGCGACGAUCAGUAGCUGGUCUGAGAGGAUGAUCAGCCACAUUGGGACUGAGACACGGCCCAAACUCCUACGGGAGGCAGCAGUGGGGAAUAUUGGACAAUGGGCGCAAGCCUGAUCCAGCCAUGCCGCGUGAGUGAUGAAGGCCUUAGGGUUGUAAAGCUCUUUCGGCGGGGACGAUAAUGACGGUACCCGCAGAAGAAGCCCCGGCUAACUUCGUGCCAGCAGCCGCGGUAAUACGAAGGGGGCUAGCGUUGUUCGGAAUCACUGGGCGUAAAGGGCGCGUAGGCGGCUUGAUAAGUCGGGGGUGAAAGCCUGUGGCUCAACCACAGAAUUGCCUUCGAUACUGUCUGGCUUGAGACCGGAAGAGGUAAGUGGAACUGCGAGUGUAGAGGUGAAAUUCGUAGAUAUUCGCAAGAACACCAGUGGCGAAGGCGGCUUACUGGUCCGGUUCUGACGCUGAGGCGCGAAAGCGUGGGGAGCAAACAGGAUUAGAUACCCCGGUAGUCC